GGGAACCUGUUUUUCUAAACAAGUAAACUCUGAAACGUAAACCCUAAUUCUUUUGGAUCUGGCAGGGCUUGAAGAACUAAGAAAAAAAUAAUUUAUCCCUUCUCAAAUCACAUUGCUACUGCUUUUAGAAUCAAUUCUUGGACGAUGCCAUCAAUCCCACCUAAUCAAAACCAUUAGACAUCUUGCUCCAAGAAACUGAUUCUACAUAUGAUGUAUAGCCAUGGGAUGGGCCUUAUGUAUGCUCAUGGCAAACAGAUAACCUAAAGCAUGCCUUAAAUUUGACCCAAUGAAUGCAUUUUUCAUCUUCAAUUCAAAGUAUGUUCCCAUCUCUUCUUAGUUCCUGGAAAGAAAGAAAUAAGAACAUUCUCAUUAAGGUGUUUCUCAAUGACGUUCUACAGUUAAACAAAAUGAAAAAUAAAAAUAAAAGAAAAAUGAUUUCUCAAAAAAAAUAGACAUACAGUAAAACCUCUAUAAAUUAAUGCAGUUACGACUAAGAGAUUUUAUUAAUUUAUCGGGUUACUAAUUUAUCGAUAUACUAAUUGAUCCGAAAAUCAAUUUUGGGAAAAAAAAUUGUAUUGAUUUAUUCAGUUAUUAAUUUAUCGAGUAUUAAUUUAUAGAGGUCAUAAUGUAUAUGCACAAGAGAUUCUCAAUUGAGAAUCCCGUUAAGAAAUAGAUACACUACAACAAGAAAAGACUUUAACAUCAUUUAUAUUAGCUUUUACGUUGGUUAUAAAUUGACUAAAGCAUAUAGAAAAAAAAAACUAAAACCUAAUGUCAGAACCGUCAAAAUCUAUUAAUUUAUAGAGGUAUUAAUUUAUCGAGAUGGCUAAUUUUGUAAUUAAAAAAAAUUGUAUGAAAUGAAGUUUUUUUUGUUCUAAUCAAUAUCUUUAUAGAACCAAUUAAUUACUAGUUGAAAAACAAUAAUUAUGUUUGGAAAACAAUAUAUGAAGUUUUGGAUGAAAUAAAAAUAUUAUAAAUGAACUCUACCAAAAAUUAAUGCAAAUUUUAAAAAAGAAAACAAAUAAUACUAUAGUCAUAUCUCCAAAAACCAAACCAAAAACUUCGGUUAACCAAAAUGAUUUUGAAACCCCACCAAUCGGUUAUGAUCAAUUAACAUUAACAGAACCGAAUUACCCAAACCUUGGUACCGUUCGGUUUGGACAAGUCGGUUCGUUUCAAAAUCACAGGCCUAGUGACAACCUUCCACAGAGAAAAAAUGUUAGGAGUCACACAUUUGAAAAGUAUAAGAAUUCCAUUUAAUAUAACUUUCAAUUUAAACUUUAAAAUUAUUAAGCCUGAUACUAAAAAUAGUUAAAAAUAAAUUUAACUAGAUUUAACAACCUUUCCAACGAUGUAUCUAACAUUUUCCGAUGUUGUUGUUUAAUAGUAAUACUAGAACCUGACCGCACGUACGUGCGGGAUUUCAUAUUUUAAACAAUAUUUUCUAAUAAAAUUUAAUUCAAUAUAGAUAAGACAAUGAGAGAAAGUAGUGUCGUCACGUCCCGUCUCGUUGUCUAUCUUAAAAUUUCUCGUCACAUAACUGUUUCCUUUAAAAUAAUUACCAAUAUGAGAAUGUUUAAUUUAGUUCAACAGAGAAGAGAAUGGGUAAGAGAUUUAGAUGGAAUACCCGUAUUUUUCUUACUUUUUCUUUCGGGAUUUAAUUUUUACAAAAUAAAUAGAAUCUAUCCAAUUUUUUUUUUGUUAAACAUUCUCUAAUUGUUUAAAACGCUGGUGCGAUUUAUAUUUGAACACUUAUUUAUUUGGUAUAAUAUUCAUAAUUUGACAAACUCACGAAAUAAAUUUUCUAAUUCAUACUUAUAGAACACUACAUAAAAACCUUAUUCACCUACGGUCUAUAAAAAAUGUUUUGUUUUCUCUAGUUGAAAAAAGCUUCAUGGGCUGUCAAAAAAAAAAAAAAAAAAAAAAAAAGCUUCAUAGUUGUGAAGACUCAAACACAGAGAAUAAUAAAAACAUCAAAUACUAAUCCAACUAUUAUUCUAUUUGUUUUAAUUAUCUCUUUUCAAACUGUAGUAACAUGAUAUUUUCUGUUUGGAUUAUCUUAAUAAGUUCAAACUUAGACAUAUGAACUAUUUUUAUCACUUUUUUAGUAUUUCGUUUGCGUAUGUCAAAUGUAUAAAAUAUGAGCACUCUAUAGGAAAGAUCAAAGUUCAUUAGCAUCUGUACUAACUCAAUUAAAAUAUUUGGUUUCUUUUCUAUAUAACUCAUCCAUUACAAAAGUGGAAUCAAGAGCUUAUAAAAAAUCUAUUUUCUUAUAUUCUCCCCUGAUAUUGUUGGAUCAUAUUCAUAAAUUGCGUGUGACUGUCUUUUGUCCCAACUCAGUAGAAGCUAAGCCAUGCCUCGACAAACCUAUGUAGUUAAUUUAUAAGUUGUAGAAACAUAACAGAAAUGAGAGUACAAUGUUCUAUUUGUAAUUAUCAUCACACAAUUAAAAGAAAUGUAUCCAAAAUUCAAAUUUAUAAACAGAGAACAAAAUUUAAUUAGUUACAACUUACAUUUGGAAUGGUAGGCUAAUGAAUAUUUGUGAGUCAAAUUUUAUAUAUUUAUAGGGAGAGAUGAAGUUAAUGAGAAAAAUUAGGUUUACCUAUUUUGAAUUUUAGAAAAUGAUUUAAUAUCUUAAUUGAUUAUUUAUUCUCAUUUCAAAUUUUAAGUCAAAUCUCUUGUUUAAAUAUUUCUUAUCUUUGAAAUUAAUGACAACAUAUUUAUAUUUCUUUCUUUUUUUCUAUCAUCAAUAUAUUGGUUUAAAGAUAUAUUAAGAAAUCAAUUUUAGUAUUAAAAUCAUAUUAAUAGAAUAUAGAAUAUGACUUUCGUUAAAUUUCAAAUCAUUAUUUAAAUUUUAAAAAUGCUCUUAAAAUUUUUUGAAAAUAACAAAUCCAAUAAUAUAUUUUUCCUAAAUUAAUUCAAUUAAUUCAAACUAAUUAAAUCAGUUAGAAUUAAUUAUCUUGCCGAUUAAGUUUGAACUUCCAAGAUUUUCUCAAACUAUUAAUAACUUAUUUUUUCCCUAAAUCCUGAUUUUUAGGCAAUAGAUUAGAUUUUCGGAUUUUAUAUAUUUUAAGAUCAUAUAUAUAGUUUUUGUUAUUAUUUGUAGUAAGAUUUGGAAAGAUUGAAAACUUUUAGUGAUAUUUAUUAGGUAAUUUUAUGGUAUGAUUUGCAUAGUUUAUUUUAUAAGAAUUCUAAUAAUAUAGGAUUUUAUAUAAAAAUUAUUAUUGGAUUCAAAUAAAAACAAAUUUUGAUUUUUUUAACCAUAUUAUGAUGAUUAUUAAUUUCUAUAAAUGGUUGUUUCUUUAAUGAUAAUAAAUUAAUGAUUGGAUAUGAGUUUAUUAAUAUAUCCAAAAUUUAUGGUUGCAAUAUUUGCAAAAUCUUGGAAUUAAUAUAAUUGUUAUUAAUAUCACUAAUAUGGUUGCUAUUUUUUCUCCAUCUUUAAAUUUAAAAAUCUCAAUGGCAUUAUAUGUAAUAUUUUACCUUUUAUAAGGUUAUUUAAUUUUGAGUGAUUCCCAAUUAAUAGUAUAGAUUUAGUAAAUAAUAAUUUAUAUGUUUCAAAAUAUAAGAUGUUUUAGAUAUUUUAUUUUGUUUCAUAUUAUAAGAUGUUUUGCAAGUUUUUAAGCAAAUUUAAAUGCAUUUGAUCAUUUGUGUCUAUUGAUAUUCUGCAAUAUUUUUUUAUGAUUGGUGAGAUUUUUUUUUUAUUAAAUACAAAUCAUAUUUUUUAAAAAACAAAAACUACCUAAAUAUGUGUGUUUUUACUUUAAACAUCUUAUAAUUUGAAACAAAAGGAGUAAAUAAACUCUCGAGUAACAAUUAACUCUCUAUCUUCUCUCACUCCUAUUUCUCAGAGAGAGAAGGCGAUUUCCGGUAUACCGGAAUUAAUAACCGACGGAUCAGAAAAGUUUCUCUUCUAUUCUCUAUUUACAAUAUUUCAGAACAGAGAAGCUUACCGUUGGUUUUGAUUCCGGAUUUCUCUGGAGUUAUAUAGACUCUCGUCUUUGUAUGAGCUAAAUAAUUUCCGACCUUUGUCGGAUUCUCGUUACCUGCUUUGUCUGGUUUUUGUCUCUCGCUCUAGCGAAAUUGAUCUCUUUUCCUUUGUGCCCGUCGAUGUCGAUGUUCUCCUUCAAAAUCUUAUCUGAUCCCUCUAAUCUUUUUUGAGGAGUAAUAUCUUCGUCACUUCCUUUUGCUCAUGAAGUAAGAGAAAAGAUCAAACCACAUCAAGUUGGGUGUGACCAGUGGUGGAGCUUCCCCGGAGAUGAUGUUGCUGGGAGAGUUUUGAAGCGUUUUCUUUUUUCAAUCGAUCCGGCAGUUUCUCGACGUUUUGGCUAGGAUUCGAGAUCGGCAGAAGAAAGGAGGAUUCUCAUCGCUACUGGGUUGAUCGGCGGCGGCUGAUCGAAGUCAUGCGAUGUCCGACGAACGUUGACGGUGGCCAUCGAUGUCUUGACACGUGUACUGGAGAAGAAUAUGUAUCCAUCCUACACGUGUCUAACACUAAAGCAUAUUUUGCAUAAAUCCUUCUUAUCUGUUGACUAAAUUAUGUUUUAGUUUGGAGGGUUAACUUUUGCUUGUAAUUUGUUUGGGCCUCAGCCCCUUCUGUAUCUGUAUCUGUCUAUUGGGUCUGAAUAAAAAUGAGUUGCGGAAAAAAAAAACUCUCUCUUUAAAACUAAAGAACGUUGUAAGUUUCAUGGGCUUAUGCUUUCGACAUGGGCUCUUUUUAGUUGGGCCAAAAUUUUCUUUACAUGGAUUUGGCUCAACAUGUCCAAAUUGUUCUUUUUAUCUUGUAAUAUUUUUGAGACUACUGAACAUGUCACGAGUAUGUGACAUUGAGAUUGCAU
RNAcentral lists this long non-coding RNA (4835 nucleotides) under Arabidopsis lyrata. RNAcentral describes it as "long non-coding RNA (ALYR_LNC003323)". The record is from RNAcentral. Lineage: Eukaryota; Viridiplantae; Streptophyta; Magnoliopsida; Brassicales; Brassicaceae.